AAUGAACGUUGGCGGCGUGGAUUAGGCAUGCAAGUCGAGCGAGAACCCCGCAAGGGGGGACCGCGGCGAAAGGGACAGUAAUGUGUAGAUUAUCUGCCCUCAGGUCCGGGAUAGCUGCGGGAAACUGCAGGUAAUACCGGAUAAAAUCUCCGGAUCAAAGGUGUGAUUCCGCCUGAGGAUGAGUCUGCAUCCUAUUAGCUAGUUGGUGGGGUAAUGGCCUACCAAGGCAUUGAUGGGUAGCAGGUGUGAGAGCACGACCUGCGUCAUUGGGACUGAGACACUGCCCAGACACCUACGGGUCGCUGCAGUCGAGAAUCUUCGGCAAUGGGCGCAAGCCUGACCGAGCGACGCCGCGUGUGGGAUGAAGGCCUUCGGGUUGUAAACCACUGUCAGAGGGGAUGAAAUGCAGGUGGGUUCUCCCAUCUGUUUGCCAUAGCCUCAGAGGAAGGACGGGCUAAGUUCGUG
RNAcentral lists this ribosomal RNA (465 nucleotides) under uncultured bacterium. Its description in RNAcentral is "partial 16S ribosomal RNA". It matches the Rfam family "Bacterial small subunit ribosomal RNA", at positions 29 to 507 of the family's 1533-position model. The record is from RNAcentral.